GACGAACGCUGGCGGCGUGCUUAACACAUGCAAGUCGAACGGAAAGGCCCUGCUUUUGUGGGGUGCUCGAGUGGCGAACGGGUGAGUAACACGUGGGUAACCUGCCCUUGACUUUGGGAUAACUUCAGGAAACUGGGGCUAAUACCGGAUAGGAGCUCCUGCUGCAUGGUGGGGGUUGGAAAGUUUCGGCGGUUGGGGAUGGACUCGCGGCUUAUCAGCUUGUUGGUGGGGUAGUGGCUUACCAAGGCUUUGACGGGUAGCCGGCCUGAGAGGGUGACCGGCCACAUUGGGACUGAGAUACGGCCCAGACUCCUACGGGAGGCAGCAGUGGGGAAUAUUGCUCAAUGGGCGGAAGCCUGAUGCAGCAACGCCGCGUGCGGGAUGACGGCCUUCGGGUUGUAAACCGCUUUCGCCUGUGACGAAGCGUGAGUGACGGUAAUGGGUAAAGAAGCACCGGCUAACUACGUG
Molecule: ribosomal RNA, 468 nt
Filed under: uncultured bacterium
Lineage: Bacteria
Description: partial 16S ribosomal RNA
Rfam family: Bacterial small subunit ribosomal RNA
Source: RNAcentral